UAAACUAGGAUUAGAUACCCUAUUAUUUGAAACGUUAUUGAUCUGGCCUGGCUAGUAUUAGUUAUUUUCUUGAAAAUUAUAUAAUUUGGCGGUAUUUUAAUCUGUUCAGAGGAACCUGUCCCGUAAUCGAUAGUCCACGAUUUAUUUUACUUUUUUUUAGUUUAUAUAUCGUUGUAGCUUGAACAUUCUAAGAGGAUUAUAAAAAUGUUCAUAAUUUAAAAUUAUGAAGUAAUUCAAAUCAAGGUGUAGCUUAUAAGAAAGGGGAGAUGGGUUACAAUAAUUAUAUUUUUGGAUAAAUUUUAGUAAGGAAUUUUGAAUUUGGAUUUGAUAGUAAUUUUUAUUAAAUAAUAGAAAUGAUUUUAGCUCUAAAAUAUGUACACAUCGCCCGUCGCUCUUAA
RNAcentral lists this ribosomal RNA (398 nucleotides) under Sagra sp. GJK-2010. RNAcentral describes it as "partial 12S ribosomal RNA". Lineage: Eukaryota; Metazoa; Arthropoda; Insecta; Coleoptera; Chrysomelidae. The record is from RNAcentral.